This 202-nucleotide ribosomal RNA is filed under the name uncultured bacterium. RNAcentral describes it as "partial 16S ribosomal RNA". It matches the Rfam family "Bacterial small subunit ribosomal RNA", at positions 1299 to 1500 of the family's 1533-position model. The record is from RNAcentral.
CGCAGGCUGCAACCCGCCUGCGUGAAGUUGGAAUCGCUAGUAAUCGCGGAUCAGCAUGCCGCGGUGAAUACGUUCCCGGGCCUUGUACACACCGCCCGUCACACCAUGGGAGUCGGUAACACCCGAAGUCGGUAGCCUAACCGUAAGGAGGGCGCCGCCGAAGGUGGGAUUGAUGACUGGGGUGAAGUCGUAACAAGGUAUC